GGAUUGNANUGGAGGAACUCUGAUGCAGCGACGCCGCGUGAGCGAUGAAGCCCUCCGGGGUGUAAAGCUCUUUCGACGGGAACGAUAAUGACGGUACCCGAAGAAGAAGCUGCGGCUAACUACGUGCCAGCAGCCGCGGUAAUACGUAGGCAGCAAGCGUUGUUCGGAAUUACUGGGCGUAAAGAGUGUGUAGGCGGUGCUCGAAGUCUGUUGUGAAAUCUCCCGGCUCAACUGGGAGGGUGCGGCGGAAACUGGAGUGCUCGAGUGUGGGAGAGGUAAGCGGAAUUCCUGGUGUAGCGGUGAAAUGCGUAGAUAUCAGGAGGAACACCUGUGGUGUAGACAGCUUACUGGACCACGACUGACGCUGAUACACGAAAGCGUGGGUAGCAAACAGGAUUAGAUACCCUGGUAGUCCACGCCCUAAACGAUGCAUACUUGGUGUGAGCGAUUCAUUUCGUUCGUGCCGGAGCUAACGCGUUAAGUAUGCCGCCUGGGGAGUACGGUCGCAAGGCUGAAACUCAAAAAAAUUGACGGA
This 535-nucleotide ribosomal RNA is filed under the name uncultured bacterium. Its description in RNAcentral is "bacterial SSU rRNA". It matches the Rfam family "Bacterial small subunit ribosomal RNA", at positions 359 to 917 of the family's 1533-position model. The record is from RNAcentral.